RNAcentral lists this long non-coding RNA (253 nucleotides) under Setaria viridis. Its description in RNAcentral is "long non-coding RNA (SVIR_LNC002722)". The record is from RNAcentral. Lineage: Eukaryota; Viridiplantae; Streptophyta; Magnoliopsida; Poales; Poaceae.
GAACCUUGAUGUGGAUGAUAUUGUACUUCUCUCUCGACGGCAACCCACAGCCACAUGCUGCAUGGACCGGUUAGAGCGGUUUAUCAUAUCGAUUAGACCGGUUUUUUCCAGGUUCGCUAGAAAUCACCGAAGAAUGGGCUCUUGUAUUCGCUUGCUUUUCCUUAUUUUCAACCGAUGGGCCAAUCGGUUUUCUGACUGAAGAUCGUAUUUCUUGAAAUACAUCAUCAAUGGAAGUUAAAUCUUUUAUUUGAAC